UGUAUAUGUGUGUGUGUAUGUGUGUGUGUAUGUGUGUGUGUGAGUGUGUGUGUGUGUGUGUGUGUGUGUGCACGCAUAUGGGUCUGUAUGGAGGUGGCUGCAGAUUGAAUAAUUAGUAAGAGAAAGGGUAAGAAUUGUAUCUGAAUUUGAAUGGAUUAGUGGUCAUACUAAUUUUGGUGAAAAGUGUUACUGAAAGGACUUCUUUGUGCAUUCAAAAUUUGUAUAGGAUAUACAACCAUUUUAUUCUCUGUCACAUCAGCAUUCUGUCUGACAGCAUCCCUUCCAUACCAUUUCUACCUCUCUUGCUUGUAUCAACUUCUGUUUUUCAACCCUAUCUAUUUCUACUCACUCUCUCCUUCCAUUCUCAUCAUUUCCCUACUUUCUUCUGGCUAUCUACUCUACUCGUUAUAUUCCACCAACAGCCA
Molecule: long non-coding RNA, 425 nt
Organism: Octopus sinensis (East Asian common octopus)
Lineage: Eukaryota; Metazoa; Mollusca; Cephalopoda; Octopoda; Octopodidae
Exons: 2
Source: RefSeq, a predicted model, not a curated record